Molecule: ribosomal RNA, 751 nt
Filed under: Nocardiopsis sp. YIM 92602
Lineage: Bacteria; Bacillati; Actinomycetota; Actinomycetes; Streptosporangiales; Nocardiopsidaceae
Description: bacterial SSU rRNA
Rfam family: Bacterial small subunit ribosomal RNA
Source: RNAcentral
CCAUGCAGUCGAGCGGUAAGGCCCUUCGGGGUACACGAGCGGCGAACGGGUGAGUAACACGUGAGCAACCUGCCCCCGACUCCGGGAUAAGCGGUGGAAACGCCGUCUAAUACCGGAUACGACCGGCCGCCUCAUGGUGGCCGGUGGAAAGUUCUUCGGUUGGGGAUGGGCUCGCGGCCUAUCAGCUUGUUGGUGGGGUAAAGGCCUACCAAGGCGAUUACGGGUAGCCGGCCUGAGAGGGCGACCGGCCACACUGGGACUGAGACACGGCCCAGACUCCUGCGGGAGGCAGCAGUGGGGAAUAUUGCGCAAUGGGCGAAAGCCUGACGCAGCGACGCCGCGUGGGGGAUGACGGCCUUCGGGUUGUAAACCUCUUUUACCACCAACGCAGGCUCCCAGUUCUCUGGGGGUUGACGGUAGGUGGGGAAUAAGGACCGGCUAACUACGUGCCAGCAGCCGCGGUAAUACGUAGGGUCCGAGCGUUGUCCGGAAUUAUUGGGCGUAAAGAGCUCGUAGGCGGCGUGUCGCGUCUGCUGUGAAAGACCGGGGCUUAACUCCGGUUCUGCAGUGGAUACGGGCAUGCUAGAGGUAGGUAGGGGAGACUGGAAUUCCUGGUGUAGCGGUGAAAUGCGCAGAUAUCAGGAGGAACACCGGUGGCGAAGGCGGGUCUCUGGGCCUUACCUGACGCUGAGGAGCGAAAGCAUGGGGAGCGAACAGGAUUAGAUACCCUGGUAGUCCAUGCCGUAAACGU